RNAcentral lists this long non-coding RNA (4545 nucleotides) under Olea europaea subsp. europaea. Lineage: Eukaryota; Viridiplantae; Streptophyta; Magnoliopsida; Lamiales; Oleaceae. The record is from RNAcentral.
GUUUUUCUACCCAAUUAUGGCAUUUCAGCUGAGACUCUCUCUCUCUCUCUAAAGAUAUGGCUUUUUACUUAAGAAAACUGCACUCUCUACACUUCGAUUGCAUUCACAGGUAUAUACAUACGCGUUACGUAAUGCAUAUAUUAUUCUGUGUAGACUGUGGUUUAUGCUAAUCGUUUAUUAUAUAUGCGUUUUUAACGUGGUAAUGGAUUUAUUUAUUUAUUUGUGGAAUUUACCGCAGAAACCUGUGAUUCGUUAAUGUUAUCAUGGCGUGGAUUUCAUAUCGAACCUGGAACUCGUGAGAUGUGAGUAUUAGAGUUUUUCUCUUUCCGUUUGACUGAUUUUAUUAUUAUUUAUUAUUAUUAUUAUUAUUAUUAUUAUUAUUAUUAUUAUUAUUAUUAUUAUUAUUAUUAUCUAGAAUAAGUUUUACGUGCUUCGAAUAAGCUUUAUUUAUUUAUUUUAUCUAAUUUCAUAAGUUAUAGUCGUUCAGAUCUGAACAUAUAUAUCAACUUAAUGAACAGAAUUGUUUUUUGAGUAGUCUGAAGAGAAGGAGGAUUGCUAAUUUGAUAUAUGGAUUUCUUGUAAAUUUGAUUGCUGCAUGUUAUGUUCAUUUGAGAUAAAUGAUGUUUUUUGUUAAAUUGAUCAGGCGAUAAUGAGACUAAUCAAGUUGUAGGCUUCUUAUAUAAUUUUCUUGCUUAGCUGGACAGGGGUUUUGAAUUUAAGAGCUAGAUUGCAUUUUGUGGAUUGAAAAUCUAGCUAUGAAAUUGUAGUCAGAAAAUUUCAGAUUUUGAAGUCAAAUUUGAAUUUAUUUAUUUUUUCUAAUUUUUCUUACUGAAGUUCCUCUAUGCAAUGCUGGAAACAUAAAUUUGGGUUUUUUUUUUAACAAUUCCAUUUACAAAGGUUACUUGUCAAUGUACUUCAUCACAUUUAAGACCUUGUUUUUUUUUUUUUAAAAAAAUAAAAAAUUACUUCCCAUCUAUGGAGAUCAAUGAGAUACCUUAACAGGAAGCAUAGUGUUUCUUAUGCUUAAGGACUCGAGCAUUAGGCAAGGCCUUCAUUGCCCCAGUUGAUGUAGGCAAAUUCCGUUGAUGAGGUUUUCCAUAAUCAUUUUCCUUUUAUUCAUUUACAUUUUUGUGGGAAUGUGGUAAGCAGAGAUGGCAAUGGGGCAGGUCGAAAUUUUCUUGCCCCAUACCCGGCCCAUUAACCGUUUAAGGUGGGGUGAGUCGGGGGGCAGGGUGGGGCGUUUGCCCCGUUUAUGUACCCUUCUUUUAAGUUUUUGAUAAUUUAUUUUAUUGCUCCCAUUUAUUAAAGUGAGACAAUAAUGUAGUUAUUAAAUUUUUUAAUUAAUUAAUUAAUUUUUAAAAGUUAAAUUAUUAGAAUAUAUUUGAUAAACUAAGGGCCUUAUUGUUUAUCAUAGAUUCAUAUUCCUUAGAUAAUCUUAUCGUCAUUUUCUAUUAGAAUUAAUGAAAUUUUGGUGGAGAUUUCCAUUUAAAUUAUCGAAUUCUUAAAAAAUCCGUCAUACACCAUUGUAGAAAUUAAAGAAAAAUAAAUAAAUGAAACUAUUAAAUGGAAUGGGUUGAUUUUAAAUAAAUAGCCCAUUUAAUUUCAUUAAAGCAUAAAAUUCUACCAAGUAAAUGAAACCUCACAUCCAUACAGCCUUUAAUUAUUGAGUCACUCAAAUGGAACUAAGCUGGGAUGAUUCAUUAACUGCGAGUCUUGUAAUGACAAAGCCAAGACCAUGCAAGAAAUGUUGUCCAUUAGGCCCCUAGAGCAGGGCCUGACAAGACCAGCUGAAGGGGCGGGACGGGCUUAUAUGUUUAACAAGUACUCGCCUCGUCCCCAACCUGAUUACCUGAUUAAGCAGGCCUCGUGGGUAUUGGAUAUGACGGAUUUUUUUGCCACCCUAGGCAAGCUUGCUCCAAUAAGUUGGGAAAAUUGGAAUAAUCUAUUUGAUCUCAGGACGUCAAAGUUUAGAGAUGCACCACUUGACUAUGAACAUUAUAAUUUAGUUUAUAUUGAUGUACAUGGCAUUGUUUUAACCCCUCAAUCUCCUACAUAAUCAUAAUCAUAAUCAUAAUCAUAAUCAUUAUCUGCCUUGGCAAACUUCUUAUUAACCUCUUAUAGUGUUCAUUUAUAUAAAGAUUUGUGGUUUGCUCCUUUAAUCUUUUUUCAUUAGUUUUCUGCUCUAUUGGCUCAUUUGUUAAUGAAGAUAAACUUUAUUAGUUGAUGGUCAGCAUGAUAUAUUUUUUUUAAACUUUAUUUAUUUAUUUAUUUAUUUUUUGCUGUUAAAAUCAGUCUCAAAACUUCAUAUGUAGCAUCUGAACAUAUAUUUGCUGCACGAUUCUUCUGGGUGGUGACAUAUCAAAGGAUAGUCCAUCCACAGGUCCUUUCCACCCAGAUGAUCAUACAAAUUAGGUAUGAAGCAUUUCAGAGAAUUUUUUUGUCAGUUGAAAGGAUCUUGUUUGAACCUAUUGCAUGGCUCUAAUUGUAUUCAUGGGAACGUUCAUGUUCCAAGCCUUAGUAGAUAUUAUUUAUUCUUCUCUCUGUCUCUCUGUGGAAUUAAAUGAACAUAUCUGGAGAAGUGUGGCAGGUGUACUUGAUUUUUCUUCAUAGACACCUUUGUCUUUAUGUUCAUGAACUCAAGUAGGUGAUUUCUUGUCCUCUUGCAUUGGUUCUGAAAUAAGCUUAUUGUCUUCCAGCUCUUAGCUGAGGAUCCAGCACUAAAGCGCUUCAAAUCACAUAAGACAAGCGUUCGGCGAUUAAAAGUAGUAGGAGAUGCUCUUACAGUGCUAGUUGUAGCUGGUAUGCCAAUCUCUUCACCACAAAUUAUAAUUGAUUCUAUCAACUUUAUAUUUGCUCAAUGACUAACAGGGGUGCAAUACAAAACCUAGUGGGGUGUCAUGUGAUCAUUUUUGUUUAGCUAAUUUCUGUUUAUUGCUAAUAGACCUGCAACACAUAAAACCUAAGAGCUGUGGGGUAAAAGAGCCAUAAAAUGCAUUGUGGAUGUUGGGAAUUGGGAUGACCUAUAUUCUUUGAGUUGGUAUAAGAAUAAUCUGAUUAUUCACUUGAUUUAUUGACUGGUGAUCUAUUGACUGGUUAGUUAGGAAAUCAAGAAUGACAAUAAUGAACAGUUCAUAUAAUCUCUGCAUAUGUUAGUAAAGGUUCAUAUCACCACUUAGGGCUUGUAUCUGAUUGUUUAUUCUGGACGGUGACAUUUAGAGAGACUUUCUUUGCUGGAAUCUUAGGUGAUGUAGAAAUACAUUGUCUGUUAUAUAAGUCUGUCACAAAUAAAUUCAACUUCUCUUCUCUUCCAUGCAAUCUUGUUUCACUGGGAUACUUGUCUUUUACUCUAUUCUAUCAAGGAUUAAUCCCGCUGUUACUUGUAUUGCUCGUCUCCCUUAUUACCAUUAGGUCAUGGCUGAAGUGAAACGUGAAUACUGGGUCACACAUCUGAUAGUUGAAUAUAUCUGUGGAAGGCCAAGAGCUUCUAUGUCUUGCACUGUCCUGUCCAGUUUCUGCAACAGUCGGACUUCUGUUCUGUUGUGUUCUAUCAUGUUUGAGAAUGAUGUUUCAUAUUACUUUCCCAAGAGGCACAAUUGUGUCUCUAGUCGCACCUUCAAAUGACAUUUUGGAAUUUUUUUUUCAUUUUUGGGGUUCGUGACGAGGCAUAGAUUUGACUGAUAGAUUACUUUCAACUUGUUUACUAUGUGAAUGAACAUGAUAUACUUUUUAGGACUGGUUUGUUUGCAGUAUUUGUUAGGAUUGGACAGUAAAAUUGACAAAAUUCAACCUUUUCUUCUCUGCUACUGUUCCUAACUGUACAAUCAACUCUACCAAAGAAGCCAUUAAGGUCAAAUUUCUCGUUAUUAAUAAACUGGUUUCUACCUUGCUAUCCUUCACCUUUGUUACAGGAUGCUGCUACGAGAUUUAUAUUAAAGCGGAAAUUCGAGAAGAAGCCUGUAAUCAAGCGAAAGAGAGUGCAUAACUUUGGAAGCCCCAACAUUAACACCGUUUUCCAUCCUCUAAAGAGGGGGAUAGAUUUUUCGCCUAUAGGUGUUCCACGCUGUCAUGCAAAAUAUUAACUGAGCAAGGGAAAUGGACAUUAUGAUGAUAUGGUACAACAGACAUUUUUCCGGGACCCUAAUGAUUGACGGACACAGAGACUUUGAGUUAGUGGGACACGAUCAAAUUGUUUAUCUUAAUAUGGUCAACCUUGUUAAGAGGAGUAGUUUAAGAUCUUUUUAAAUUGGUCAAUAUUUCGGUAUUUAACCGAUGUGAAAUUUUUAUCCCGUGAAUCAGCCGAAAAAAGAGGACCAGAUUCUACAGCAGAAUUAUGCACAUCAGCACCUACCUAUACUGCCAAGAAAAGAGGUUCAGAUUAGGAUAAGAUUCUAGUACAGAAUUAUCUCAACUUUCUUUUGAAUUAGAGUGGAAUAUUGUAACAAUAUAUGCUAGUCAGUCUCCUAAGGUAACUCAGUUCAGUUGGUGUAAAUGUCUAUAUAAACUUAUUCAAUGCAUACGUUUGGGAUUAAGCCAAACAAUUCAAAG